RNAcentral lists this small RNA (648 nucleotides) under Pan troglodytes (chimpanzee). RNAcentral's name for it is "processed transcript". Lineage: Eukaryota; Metazoa; Chordata; Mammalia; Primates; Hominidae. The record is from RNAcentral.
GGGUGUAUUUGUGUACAUACACGUUUCUGUUUACUAUCACUGUUACUACCGUCUCCAUCCCAUUCUGUUGAAAAUUAGAACAGAAGAUUGAGGAAACUCAGGCUGUCUCGCCACACUGAAAGGCGUCCAAAUACCCUUACAGUUAGAUUGUCCAGUGGUGGCUUAGGUGCUUGCUAACAGCCAGGAAUUGGACAACACAUCUAAAAGUUUUAAGCGCAUCUUGGUCCUCGUCUCCCAUUCCCAGGAUUUUCUGAAUGGUGUCUGUACCAAUAUCAUUCACAUGCACAACAAGAAACUGAAGUAUUAUACGGGUAAUUAUGAUCAGUACGUGAAGACGCGGCUAGAGCUGGAGGAGAACCAGAUGAAGAGGUUUCACUGGGAGCAAGAUCAGAUUGCACACAUGAAGAACUACAUUGCGAGGUUUGGUCAUGGCAGUGCCAAGCUGGCCCGGCAGGCCCAGAGCAAGGAGAAGACGCUACAGAAAAUGAUGGCAUCAGGACUGACAGAGAGGGUCGUGAGCGAUAAGACACUGUCAUUUUAUUUCCCACCAUGUGGCAAGAUCCCUCCGCCUGUCAUUAUGGUGCAAAAUGUGAGCUUCAAGUAUACAAAAGAUGGGCCUUGCAUCUACAAUAAUCUAGAAUUUGGAAU